CACCUGCACAGGUGCUGCAUGGCUGUCGUCAGCUCGUGUCGUGAGAUGUUGGUUAAGUCCCGCAACGAGCGCAACCCUUAUCCCUAGUUGCCAUCAGGUAAAGCUGGGAACUCUGGGGAGACUGCCGGUGAUAAACCGGAGGAAGGCGGGGAUGACGUCAAGUCCUCAUGGCCCUUACAUCCCGGGCUACACACGUGCUACAAUGGCAGGUACAGAGGGCUGCGAAGCCGCGAGGUGGAGCGAAUCCCAGAAAACCUGUCUCAGUCCGGAUUGAAGUCUGCAACUCGACUUCAUGAAGGCGGAAUCGCUAGUAACCGCGAAUCAGCAGGUCGCGGUGAAUACGUUCCCGGGCCUU
Molecule: ribosomal RNA, 355 nt
Filed under: uncultured Latescibacterota bacterium
Lineage: Bacteria; Pseudomonadati; Candidatus Latescibacterota
Description: bacterial SSU rRNA
Rfam family: Bacterial small subunit ribosomal RNA
Source: RNAcentral